UGCUUCCUCCUCCUCCAGCCUUACCCGGGGCGCUCCGUGGCUCAGGAACAGAACAUUCUGCUUGGAUCUUCUAUGGGGGCCUUUCAGCCCCAGGCAGAUCCCUCCCCCGGGCCCGACUCUUCAUUCAGUCAACCCUUGCGGGGGGAGGAACAUGGGUCUCUCUUUGGACAAUGAUUUUUAGGACUCUUACUCUUGGAAUCCAGGUCCCAUGUUGUAAAGAAGCCCAGACCCCGUGGAAGCCAUUCAGCUGAGCUAUCAGUCAACGGCCAGCUCCAGCCACCCACCACGUGGGUGAGUGAGCCUUUAGAAGAUUCCAGACCCAGCUCAUGGCAACGGGAGCAGGAGGGAGCUGUCUCUAUUGGACCCUGCCCAAACUGUACUUUCGCAAAUAAUGAGCAUGUCACAAACACGUCUGUGUGAAGUCAUUAGGUGGAGAGUGGUUCAUUAUGCAGAAGCAGGUAACUGGAAUGACUAACCUUGAAUUUCUGCCUGCCCUGACCAGCUGUGUGAACUUGAGUAAGUUCAACAACCUCUCUGAGUCUCAAGUGUGGAAUCAGGACAGUAAUAAAAUAAAGCUAACCUUUCUCAUGAGAAAUCCUCCUAACACCCACGAAUGGGAACUUGGGCAGGAAGCAGAGACAUGGAAGCUUGAGCCUGAGGGACCGAGAGGCCAGACAGAGGCCCCCAAUUACCUCAGCUAUCGACGAUCCAGGCAGCGGAGUGCUGUGGCCGUCUCAGUAA
RNAcentral lists this long non-coding RNA (741 nucleotides) under Ictidomys tridecemlineatus (thirteen-lined ground squirrel). RNAcentral's name for it is "lncRNA (ENSSTOG00000030859.1)". Lineage: Eukaryota; Metazoa; Chordata; Mammalia; Rodentia; Sciuridae. The record is from RNAcentral.